This 1062-nucleotide ribosomal RNA is filed under the name Protogarypinus giganteus. RNAcentral's name for it is "partial large subunit ribosomal RNA". Lineage: Eukaryota; Metazoa; Arthropoda; Arachnida; Pseudoscorpiones; Garypinidae. The record is from RNAcentral.
UAAUGGCGAACGAACGGGGAAGAGCUCAUAGCCGAAUCCGGCACCUUGCGGUGUCGGAAAUGUGGCGUAUGGGAGGCGACACUCUCCGAGUGCGGCCGGCGGUGCAAGUCCCCAUGAAAGGGGCAUGCAGCCCGUAGCGGGUGAUAGGCCCGUAACGCCGCUGGCCCGCGCGCGGAGUCGUCGUUCUCCUAGGAGUCGGGUUGCUUGGGAGUGCAGCCCAAAGUGGGUGGUAAACUCCACCUAAAGCUAAAUAAGACCGAGAGACCGAUAGCAAACAAGUACCAUGAGGGAAAGUUGAAAAGCACUUUGAAGAGAGAGUUCAAGAGUACGUGAAACCGCUCAGAGGUAAACGGGUGGGGCCUCGAAGUCCGAUGGUGGUGGCGGAUUCAGCCGAUGACGGUGACCGAGACUUGUUGGUGGGUCCCCAGGAAGGGUGAUUACAGCSAGUCGGAGUGCCCGAUGAAACGGCGCAUUUCCGCGUCCCACCCUAAGGAGCGUCGCAACUGGUUGGAGAGCCAUCGGAAGGGCGAGCUUUAAGGUAGCCACCUUUUCCUUAGGGAAUUGUGCGGUGUUACAGGAAGUUUGAGUCCCUGAUGGGCCCUCCGACCGUUUAGACCUAUGUUCCCUCCCGCCGAACCAGGGAGCAGUGGCUGUUACAUGGAGGUCCAUUGCAUCAGUGUCACGGAGAGCUGUGAACGCGGUGCAUCGUAAUCCGUGUGAGCGUAAUUCUGUAGUGGAGCAGUAGGUUGGCGGCGAGUAGGUCGGUUACCCACCCGACCCGUCUUGAAACACGGACCAAGGAGUCCAAUGCACGUGCGAGUUCCCGGGACUUGAAUAGGCCCGAGGGCGAAAUGAAAGUGAAGGUCCACGAGUCUGGACUUAGUUGGGAUCCGUUCCCGAGGGGGCGGCGCACCAACGGCCCGUCUCGCACCGGUUUCGGUGGGGCGGAGCUAGAGCACGUGCCUUGGGACCCGAAAGAUGGUGAACUAUGCCUGGGCAGGACGAAGCCAGAGGAAACUCUGGUGGAGGUCCGCAGCGAUUCUGACGUGCAAAUCGAUCGUC